Long non-coding RNA from Seriola dumerili (greater amberjack), 1309 nucleotides. RefSeq lists it as uncharacterized. The record is from RefSeq and is a predicted model, not a curated record. The transcript is spliced from 3 exons. NCBI's taxonomy places the organism in Eukaryota, Metazoa, Chordata, Actinopteri, Carangiformes, Carangidae.
CAUUACAGGCGUGUUGGCUGCAGCUGUUUUAUUCUCAGCAGCAGUUCUUGUCCAGCACUGUAAAAAGAAAAGAGGUGAACAGAGAAACGGGGAGAGAGAGUCAAACAAGGAUCAAACACCAACAACACCAGAAGCUACAGGAGGUACAAACGAAGAAACGCCUCGUCAGAGCGGUGAAAAACUCACACCCCCCCCUCUGCUUGAGAGAACUGAAGAGACUUGCAUGUGAUGUAGUAAAUGACUGUGAACCUGGAGAUUUUUGUGUCGUAUGGACAAGAAGAGCAAGAAGAAGAGUUCAAGAUUAACAAACUUAUGGUCGCUGCUGCUGCUGUUAGAGUAAAUAACUAACAGUCCUUAUUCUAGUGUGAAGGAUAUCUAAGGGCACGGAUCACAAUACGGAAAACAUUUUUGCAGAUUCCUCCUUCAUGGUGUGAUGAUGAUGUUGUUUUUUGGCUCAAUAUAUCUCCCAGGUGAACAGAGAUACAGGUAGAGAGAGUCAAACAAUGAUCAAACACCAACGUAAGUAAAUGUUCUGUAUUAGAAAAGCACUGCUGCUGAAUGAACUACAGUUAGAACCAGUUUUCUGCUGCUGAAUCUUGUUUCAUUUUGUCUUCAGGGAAACGGAGCUCAAACAGAUCAGUGAGUCAAUGUUUCCCCAGGGAGGUGAAACCCUGACCCACAAACCUCUGCUUCAGUCAAAUGAUGACUUUGGUCACACGCCGUUCAUUUAAAAUAUGAACUAACGAGAGAAUCUUGCUUCUCUCAGCCUCAAAGUCCUUCAGCUGCUGUUUUUUGUUGUUGCUGCAAACUGUCACUGAGGAGAAGCUUCGUCUGGACUCUCUGCACUAAAGCCCAGAUCAGUGAGAGCUGCAGUGAUGGUCGUCCUUCUGGAAGUUUUCUCCAUGUCCACACAGGAUCUCUGGAGCUCAGCCAGAGUGACCACCGGUCUCUGUGUCUCUGUGCUGUAACUGUGAGGACGGAGCUGUCGUCACCUCCAGCAGAGGGCGCUGUCACCUCAUCAGCCAGUCAACACUGGACUCACUGAGAAAACCUCUAACUGUGUUUCCUCCACUGUCUCUGACCUGCGUCUUAGUCGACACUGAUGUUGAUGUUUUAACACUUCAAGCUCAAGAUAUUUUAAAUACACAUUGUCAAUGUAAAUAAAGUUUAUAUUUCUCAAAGCUCCAAAUGAAAUAAACAAAUAAUGAAAAAAAUGUCUUCAGAUUUCUGAUAGCUCAAUGAUUCAGAGAGGGAAAUUAGUUUUCAAUCGACUACAUACUAAUUAGACUCUCUGUCAGUCCUCCAAUGA